Molecule: ribosomal RNA, 505 nt
Filed under: uncultured bacterium
Lineage: Bacteria
Description: bacterial SSU rRNA
Rfam family: Bacterial small subunit ribosomal RNA
Source: RNAcentral
GAUGAACGCUAGCGGCAGGCUUAACACAUGCAAGUCGAGGGGUAACAGGGAGUGCUUGCACUCCGCUGACGACCGGCGCACGGGUGCGUAACGCGUAUGCAACCUACCUUUCACAGGGGGAUAGUCAAGAGAAAUUUUGAAUAAUACCCCAUACGUUCUUAAGACAGCAUUUUCUUGAGAAGAAAAUUUCGGUGGUGAAAGAUGGGCAUGCGUCCUAUUAGUUAGUAGGUGAGGUAACGGCUCACCUAGGCAACGAUAGGUAGGGGUCCUGAGAGGGAGAUCCCCCACACUGGUACUGAGACACGGACCAGACUCCUACGGGAGGCAGCAGUGAGGAAUAUUGGACAAUGGAGGCAACUCUGAUCCAGCCAUGCCGCGUGCAGGAAGACUGCCCUAUGGGUUGUAAACUGCUUUUAUACAGGAAGAAACACUCCCUCGUGAGGGAGCUUGACGGUACUGUACGAAUAAGGAUCGGCUAACUCCGUGCCAGCCGCCGCCGUAACAC